AUUGAACGCUAGCGGGAUGCCUUACACAUGCAAGUCGAACGGAGUGGCGAACGGGUGCGUAAUGUAUCGGAACGUGCCCAGUAGCGGGGGAUAACUACGCGAAAGCGUAGCUAAUACCGCAUACUAUUGGAGCGGCCGAUAUCGGAUUAGCUAGUUGGGGGGGUAACGGCUCACCAAGGCGACGAUCCGUAGCUGGUUUGAGAGGACGACCAGCCACAGUGGGACUGAGACACGGCCCGGACUCCUACGGGAGGCAGCAGGGGGGAAUUUUGGACAAGGGGGGAAGCCCGGAGCCGGCCAUCCCGCGUGGGCGAUGAAGGCCUUCGGGUUGUAAAGCACUUUUGGCAGGAAAGCGGGACCUGCAGAAGAAGAACCGGCUAACUACGUGACAGCAGCCGCGGUAAUAC
Molecule: ribosomal RNA, 407 nt
Filed under: uncultured bacterium
Lineage: Bacteria
Description: partial 16S ribosomal RNA
Rfam family: Bacterial small subunit ribosomal RNA
Source: RNAcentral